This 82-nucleotide microRNA precursor is filed under the name Cavia aperea (Brazilian guinea pig). RNAcentral describes it as "miRNA (ENSCAPG00000002645.1)". Lineage: Eukaryota; Metazoa; Chordata; Mammalia; Rodentia; Caviidae. The record is from RNAcentral.
UGUAUGCGUGUGUGUGCAUGUGUAUGUGUCACUGAGAGUUUUGCCUUGAUGUCUACAGACAGGAUUCGCACACCACCCACCC